CCUACGGGAGGCAGCAGUGAGGAAUAUUGGUCAAUGGACGAGAGUCUGAACCAGCCAAGUAGCGUGAAGGAUGACUGCCCUAUGGGUUGUAAACUUCUUUUAUAUGGGAAUAAAACGUUCCACGUGUGGGAUUUUGUAUGUAUCAUAUGAAUAAGGAUCGGCUAACUCCGUGCCAGCAGCCGCGGUAAUACGGAGGAUCCGAGCGUUAUCCGGAUUUAUUGGGUUUAAAGUGAGCGUAGGUGGAUUGUUAAGUCAGUUGUGAAAGUUUGCGGCUCAACCGUAAAAUUGCAGUUGAAACUGGCAGUCUUGAGUACAGUAGAGGUGGGCGGAAUUCGUGGUGUAGCGGUGAAAUGCUUAGAUAUCACGAAGAACUCCGAUUGCGAAGGCAGUUCACUGGACUGCAACUGACACUGAGGCUCGAAAGUGUGGGUAUCAAACAGGAUUAGAUACCCCAGUAGUC
RNAcentral lists this ribosomal RNA (460 nucleotides) under uncultured bacterium. RNAcentral's name for it is "partial 16S ribosomal RNA". It matches the Rfam family "Bacterial small subunit ribosomal RNA", at positions 338 to 795 of the family's 1533-position model. The record is from RNAcentral.